ACGGGAGGCAGCAGUGAGGAAUAUUGGUCAAUGGGCGCGAGCCUGAACCAGCCAAGUAGCGUGAGGGAUGACUGCCCUACGGGUUGUAAACCUCUUUUGUUUGGGAAUAAAGGAGCCUACGUGUAGGCUUUUGCAUGUACCUUUCGAAUAAGCAUCGGCUAAUUCCGUGCCAGCAGCCGCGGUAAUACGGAAGAUGCGAGCGUUAUCCGGAUUUAUUGGGUUUAAAGGGAGCGUAGGCGGCCUUUUAAGUCUGCGGUCAAAUGUCAGGGCCCAACCUUGGCAUGCCGUGGAUACUGAUGGGCUUGAAUACACGCAAGGCAAGUGGAAUUCGUCGUGUAGCGGUGAAAUGCUUAGAUAUGACGAAGAACACCGAUUGCGUAGGCAGCUGACCAGGCCGUAAAUGACGCUCAUGCACGAAAGUGCGGGGAUCGAACAGGAUUAGAUACCCUGGUA
This 453-nucleotide ribosomal RNA is filed under the name uncultured Paraprevotella sp. RNAcentral's name for it is "partial 16S ribosomal RNA". It matches the Rfam family "Bacterial small subunit ribosomal RNA", at positions 341 to 792 of the family's 1533-position model. The record is from RNAcentral. Lineage: Bacteria; Pseudomonadati; Bacteroidota; Bacteroidia; Bacteroidales; Prevotellaceae.